RNAcentral lists this long non-coding RNA (845 nucleotides) under Homo sapiens (human). RNAcentral describes it as "non-protein coding lnc-POP5-1:6". Lineage: Eukaryota; Metazoa; Chordata; Mammalia; Primates; Hominidae. The record is from RNAcentral.
GGCGAAGGGGACGCUGCAACGCGGAGCGGGAGCACGAGGAGGGAAGGGGCUUGGCAAUGGGCCCCAAAGAGGCCGAGACCCCGGGAGUGCCGGCAGCGCUCUUUAUCACGCCUGGAGGCUCCUGCAGAGCCCCGGAACCGCCCGAACCUCCAGAAAUGCAGGCAGGGUGCACUCCCCAGGGGGUACAACUUUGGCAAUGAGGACUACAGAGGUCCGGGGAGAACCGGAGACCCGAGGAGCAUGAAGGCACUCUGUGACAUCACUGCCUACAAACGCAGGGGCCGGAAUGCAGUGACAGGACACUGCUGGGAGGAAAGUCUCCCAGCGCCUCCGUGUGGGGCUGCCUCCACUCCCAAUACCGUGCGGGGGGACUAGGACGACCCUGGUAAGUCAGCCACAGGAUAUCAGUUCUCAGAAUAGAAGAGAAGCCAGGUCUGGCAGCACCUGAUGAUGCAUUUCCAAUUAAUCUUGGAAUGAGAGCCGAGGGCAAGAAGCCAGCGGUGCCUGAGGGAUGCUAAAGAGCCAACCGAUCCAGGGAAACAAAUGCCAGCGAGGGACCCCACAGCAAAGAGACAGACACUGUGAGCAACUCUCCUGUUACCAUGAGGCUUGCGAGGCGUGUGUGCGGGUCUCCGCAUUGGCACCAUCUGCCAAUUCCUCAGGAGGACAGAACAAACCAGUGAGGCAUGAAGAUUAGAUUAUGUAACGCUCGAGGAUUGCUGUUUUCAAAGAGGAAACAAAUGGAAUGAAUUGAUUUGCUUGUCAAAGUCAUGUCACUAAAGGAGAUCUAUUCCCUCCCCUUCUAAGAGGACCUCAUUAAAGAGUGGAAUGAUUUCACAGAUUCA